This 253-nucleotide ribosomal RNA is filed under the name uncultured bacterium. RNAcentral describes it as "partial 16S ribosomal RNA". It matches the Rfam family "Bacterial small subunit ribosomal RNA", at positions 524 to 776 of the family's 1533-position model. The record is from RNAcentral.
UACGGAGGGAGCUAGCGUUGUUCGGAAUUACUGGGCGUAAAGCGCGCGUAGGCGGCUUUGUAAGUUAGAGGUGAAAGCCCGGGGCUCAACUCCGGAACUGCCUUUAAGACUGCAUCGCUUGAAUCCGGGAGAGGUGAGUGGAAUUCCGAGUGUAGAGGUGAAAUUCGUAGAUAUUCGGAAGAACACCAGUGGCGAAGGCGGCUCACUGGACCGGCAUUGACGCUGAGGUGCGAAAGCGUGGGGAGCAAACAGG